UACGGGGGGGGCAAGCGUUGUUCGGAAUUACUGGGCGUAAAGGGCUCGUAGGCGGCCCACUAAGUCCGACGUGAAAUCCCCAGGCUUAACUUGGGAACUGCGUCGGAUACUGGUGGGCUUGAAUCCGGGAGAGGGAUGCGGAAUUCCAGGUGUAGCGGUGAAAUGCGUAGAUAUCUGGAGGAACACCGGUGGCGAAGGCGGCAUCCUGGACCGGCAUUGACGCUGAGCGAGCGAAAGCCAGGGGAGCAAGCGGG
This 254-nucleotide ribosomal RNA is filed under the name uncultured bacterium. RNAcentral describes it as "partial 16S ribosomal RNA". It matches the Rfam family "Bacterial small subunit ribosomal RNA", at positions 524 to 776 of the family's 1533-position model. The record is from RNAcentral.